Frieseomelitta varia is the source of this 1001-nucleotide long non-coding RNA. RefSeq lists it as uncharacterized. The transcript is spliced from 3 exons. Lineage: Eukaryota; Metazoa; Arthropoda; Insecta; Hymenoptera; Apidae. The record is from RefSeq and is a predicted model, not a curated record.
CACGAUCAGCUGGUCGAUCGAAAUGUUCGUGCAUCACGCGGGGACACUGACACACCGACGGGGACGACGGGUAACCUAACCCCCACGCCGCGCGAACGUUCCAACAAAGAUCGUCUUUGCAACGCUGAAGGCUAAAAUUCAAUGCAAACACGAACAAACCCGACGUAUGUACGUAAAAGUCCGUGACGCAUAUGCUUGAUCCGUCAGUACUGAGUCUACACACCUGGAGCAGCAUCCGUUUCACGUCGCGAUACUCGAUUAAACCCGACGGCGUCCACCGUAAUUAAUACCCUAUGCACGGCGCAAACGUGUAGAUAACGAGGCCAUCGUUUGCACAGCGCCUCUCGCCGAUCUCCCAGCGGACGGCGUAGUUACCAUCGUUUUCAUAAACGAGCCCCUGUCCAUCCGUGUCUUGGGCCGCCGUCGCCGGGGGAAUACCCCAAAGUUCGCCCACUGGACGAAGACAUCCCGUCCGGCAAGAGAACGUGGAGUUGCUCAUCGUUCUCAAUUAGCCGGCUAGAUCGUGCAGCCGGAUAGAUCUGGAUCCGUAUGGACAGUGAUUCCAGGGACGAUUGCUCGAACGAAGGGGUUUCGAUGAUCGGAUGCAUGACGUGGCUAGCAAUUGCUCGCUUUCGCCACCACGCGAAUCAAUUCUACUCACUCCCUAUUGCUUUCUCUUUCUUUCUCUUUUUAAGUAACGUAAGAAUGGGGUUUGAUUGAGGAAUAGUAGAAGAUCAAGUAUUUCUAGCUGUUUGAGAAACUUAUUGAAGAAACGUGAUAUUUAUACGACGAUGAUCUUAUUAUUAAUAAAAAUUGUCUGGAACAGAGAACUUUUGUAUUUUAUAGAGCAGAGAUGUUUCUCGGUCUCUAAUUAUUCUUCGAAUUGAUUUGAGCCAAAAAUGUAGAUAUCUCUAGCCCCUUUUCAUACGUUGCAAAUGAAAUUUCGAGAAAAGGAGAAAUAUUAAAAGUGUUAAGGAUAUUUAACUUUACUUUCUAUUUUG